This is a long non-coding RNA of Cuculus canorus (common cuckoo), 3094 nucleotides long. RefSeq lists it as uncharacterized. The record is from RefSeq and is a predicted model, not a curated record. The transcript has 11 exons. Lineage: Eukaryota; Metazoa; Chordata; Aves; Cuculiformes; Cuculidae.
GGAACGUAAGAGGUGUGUUUUAGAAGAAUGUUGUGUCAUCGGUCUCACCAUAGACCCCAGGAAGGUAAAUAGAUGCAAGUUGGUGCCUUGAAGCCGCAUGAUGGAGGAGCUACUGACACCCGUCGGUGGAUGAUGAAUUAGUGCAGCACAGUUGGAGCUACUUGAGGGCUGCAGAUGCAAAUCUUAGAGCUGUUUCUACGUGUACUUGAGCACUGGAUGUAUCGUGGACAGUUUCGGGCUUCCCCUGCUAAAAGACAUCAAUGUACUGGGAGCUGAACGAAUGGACGUAUCCAGACUCCAGUGCUCCCUGACUCCAUCUCCCUGCAGCAGGAUGCUUCUGGACACAGGGCAGAUCUGAGCCUUCUCACCCCGCUGAAAACCAUUCCUCCUCGUCCUCUUCCUGCUCUCCCUGAUCAAGAGCCCCUCCCCAGCUUCUGGAGCCCCUUUCAGCACUGGGAGACUGCAACCAGGUCUUUCCAGAGCCUUCUCUUCUCCAGGCCAAACAAACCCAACUCUCUCAGCCUGACCCUCUGCCAGCUGUGGAAUUGGGAUGGCACCUUCAUCCCGGCACGCAGGGGCCACAGAUCACCAUCCUGGCAGCAAUUCCUACUCGAGUGGCACAGAAUACAAAAGCUGUUAACGGAAUGCAAGGAGUCUUAAGGCAAGGACACCUUUAAUGCGACAGUCACCGUUACCCAUGCGUUGCUAACGCCAAAUUGAAGCUCUGGAAAUCAGGAUUGCAAAGCGCAUUUUUGGAUGCCAUUCACGGAAAAAAAAAAAUGGCUAAAAGUUAAAACUUCAGAUCGAAGUAGGAAAGCUGCCUGGCAUUACACGAUAACAUGGUUUUAAGGCUAAUUCUAGAAGGAGAUAACAAGACUUCUGCCCCAUGCCAGAGCUGAGGCUUGGAUGCUGUUGGUGAUGCUUCACAAUCCAAGGGGACAUCUGACUCAGUCACUGUGCCUUUCCAGCGCUCCUGGUCUCAUUUAUGUCCAAACAGUCCUCUGAAGCUCAGAUAGAUAGAAAGAGGGACAUGAAAUACCAUCGCAGUCCUUUCAGGUGGCUCAAAUGCGCUUCAGAUUUGCAAGACCCCACUGUCCUUCCUCCAAGAAGCUCCAAGAUGUGCUUCCAAGCCAGCAUCUGGAAGGCAGGGAGAGAAGACACUAAGACCUCUGCCCAGGCAUUAAAUGGGAGUAAUGAAAUAGUCUGCUGCUGCCAGAUAAGAGGAGAGGGUUCCUUGGAGAGUCACUUUGGAUCUCCAGCUGCAGUAAUACGUUGUUCUGAAUCUCUAUCAGUGCACUUGUUGUGCAGCUGGAGAGUACGUCUGACAUUGCCUCCAGUGACCUUUUCAAUAUAGUCCAAGUGCUGCAGAGCUGGUGUUUCAAGAGGAAUUCAAAUCGAAUUUACUCAGGCAGAAAGGAUUGGCCCGAGGAUAGCCCUACCGCUCGCUUCACAUUUCUCCUUGUCAUUCUCAUGGAAAUUGCAAUUCUUUAUGCAUGGUGCUUCUUCCUAUGCCACUGCAAAUGUGUCCCUUGAAACAAGAGAAACGGCCACUGUGCUUUGAACGGAGGGUCCCCAUGGGCUGGCACUCACGGUGGGGUGUCGGGCGCUGCAGGUGAAGAGUGUUUGCAGGCAGUGCCAGCGGAAACAGAAAUCGGAGGGUGAAGGUGUGAACUUCCAACACAACCUGUCGAAAGGUUAUGCCGUGGCCGUGUGUGCCGGCACCCCAAAUUGGCUGCUGCAUGUCAAGCACCCGCCGUCGUGUUAAAAGACGCAGCUCAUGGCCACGAGAGGUGAGGAGCUGAAAUUUCUAUAAGCUGGGAGAGAAAUGAAUGGGAGAGAAAUGCAUUCAGGGCUCUGCAAGACAAGAGCAGAUAAGGAGCAACAUCUUGAGGAGAGAACAAGAACUUUGAGCCCAAGCUCUCCCACCUGCCUGUCUGCGGGGCAGGAGGAAGAAGAGACUGAAGGUGGAUCAUCCAAGGAAAUGCUCAGAAGAACGGGGCUUCCUGAGUGAACGCUGGACUGUUGGAAGCCUUGGGCCAUCCUGUGUCCAGCAUGCAUUGGCUGAAAAGGAAAUUUGCACACCUGACCUGCCCCUGAUUAACAACAGUGACUGGGGAAGAGCCAUUCACUGCCUGUUAGGACAGCAGAGCUCUCCUGAUGGCUUGGAGCAAGGAUGAAGAAUCCCAGAGAAGGCACAGUCAUAAUCUGUUUCAUUCAACCAUCAAGACACCCAGGUCCCUUUUAUCACCCUUAACUGGGGCACUGGACAUCAUUUUCACUAAGUGAACAAGUUCCAUAAGUUCUUCCAAAAUGCUAUUUUGAAGAAGAAAUGACUUCAUAGUUUCUCUAUGAAGAAUUGAAGAAAUUACUUCAUAGUUUCUCUGUGAAGAAGUGAAGAAAUUACUUCAUAGUUUCUCUCUGAAGAGUUUAGAAGUGGUGUAGAAAGUCAUUUAGAAUGGGGAAAAGGGGAAGGGGAAGAGAGAGAAGGUGUUGGUUUGGCACAAGUUGAGGCUCAGAUCAACUCCUGUGCACAUCAGAUCAAUGUGUGUGCUCUGAACUUGGGACCACCACCAGGAGCUGAGCCCCGGAUCCUCUGGAGGUUUUAAGGCAUUGGGUCUGCAGUAGACCAGCUCUUCUUCUGGUGGAUAUAGACUGCGUUUGCUGAAGCUGUGUGACCUGGAGGGGUUUAGAUAUUGCUUAUGUGCAGAAAAAAAACCAGUUCUCAGAGCCCAGCUGUGUUUCUACUGAACUCACCAGCAAAAUUAUGGUUUAAGGAGAGAGGUGGGGAUGGAGGAAAAUACAGACCAGGAGCUCCGAGUUCACUGUGUUGGUAGGAAAAGUGAGAAGGAGGAUGGUUUCCAGUGAACAUCUAUGGAUGUUAUACCACACCAGCCCUCGCCAGGGGAGGAAUACUCAUUGUGAAUGAUGCCCAACGCCCAGGUGAGAGGCUGGUGAGGAGCUGAUGGCUUCUCUCUCUGCUGCGGAGCAUGAUCCCCUGGGAGCCCACUUGUGACAUCUGGCCAAAUUUUGGUGAAGUCUGAAGAAAAUUGAGCCGCCUUCUUCAGCUGGAAUGAAAAGACUCAAAAGAGGAGUC